Molecule: non-coding RNA, 72 nt
Organism: Contarinia nasturtii (swede midge)
Lineage: Eukaryota; Metazoa; Arthropoda; Insecta; Diptera; Cecidomyiidae
Source: the annotation of a RefSeq genome assembly
GGCCGCGUAGCGCAAUGGCAGCGCGAUGGACUUCGAAUCCAUAGGUUGCUUGUUCGAGUCAAGUCGCGGUCG